AGCCGCCCCGGUAAUACGGAGGAUGCGAGCGUUAUCCGGAUUUAUUGGGUUUAAAGGGUGCGCAGGCGGAGGUGCAAGUCAGCGGUCAAAUUACGGGGCUCAACCCCGUACUGCCGUUGAAACUGCAUCCCUUGAGUGCGCGAGAAGUAUGCGGAAUGCGUGGUGUAGCGGUGAAAUGCAUAGAUAUCACGCAGAACGCCGAUUGCGAAGGCAGCUUACCGGCGCUCAACUGACGCUGAGGCACGAAAGUGCGGGUAUCGAACAGGAUUAGAUACCCUGGUAGUCCGCACAGUAAACGAUGAAUGCUAGAUGUCCGGGGCGAAUGAGCUCUGGGUGUCACAGCGAAAGCGUUAAGCAUUCCACCUGGGGAGUACGCCGGCAACGGUGAAACUCAAAGGAAUUGACGGGGGCCCGCACAAGCGGAGGAACAUGUGGUUUAAUUCGAUGAUACGCGAGGAACCUUACCCGGGCUCAAACGCCUCAGGAAUCAUAUGUGAAAGCAGAUGAGUCUUCGGACCUGAGGCGAGGUGCUGCAUGGUUGUCGUCAGCUCGUGCCGUGAGGUGUCGGCUUAAGUGCCAUAACGAGCGCAACCCCCACCGACAGUUGCUAACUGGUUAAGCAGAGGACUCUGCACGGACUGCCGGCGCAAGCCGCGAGGAAGGCGGGGAUGACGUCAAAUCAGCACGGCCCUUACGUCCGGGGCGACACACGUGUUACAAUGGGUGGUACAGCGGGAAGCCAGGCGGCGACGCCGAGCGGAACCCGAAAUCCACUCUCAGUUCGGAUCGGAGUCUGCAACCCGACUCCGUGAAGCUGGAUUCGCUAGUAAUCGCGCAUCAGCCAUGGCGCGGUGAAUACGUUCCCGGGCCUUGUACACACCGCCCGU
This 887-nucleotide ribosomal RNA is filed under the name uncultured bacterium. RNAcentral describes it as "bacterial SSU rRNA". It matches the Rfam family "Bacterial small subunit ribosomal RNA", at positions 510 to 1397 of the family's 1533-position model. The record is from RNAcentral.